Molecule: transfer RNA, 67 nt
Filed under: Limosilactobacillus reuteri
Lineage: Bacteria; Bacillati; Bacillota; Bacilli; Lactobacillales; Lactobacillaceae
Description: tRNA-Phe
Rfam family: tRNA
About the family: Transfer RNA (tRNA) molecules are approximately 80 nucleotides in length. Their secondary structure includes four short double-helical elements and three loops (D, anti-codon, and T loops). Further hydrogen bonds mediate the characteristic L-shaped molecular structure. tRNAs have two regions of fundamental functional importance: the anti-codon, which is responsible for specific mRNA codon recognition, and the 3' end, to which the tRNAs corresponding amino acid is attached (by aminoacyl-tRNA synthetases). tRNAs cope with the degeneracy of the genetic code in two manners: having more than one tRNA (with a specific anti-codon) for a particular amino acid; and 'wobble' base-pairing, i.e. permitting non-standard base-pairing at the 3rd anti-codon position.
Source: RNAcentral
GCUGAUGUGGGCCAAUGGCAGGCCACUAGCGAAGUUAGGGAAGGCGGUUCGAUUCCGUCCAUCAGCA